UGACUCUAAAAUAGAGCGGAGGUGGUACGUCAGUCAAAAUCUCUUUUUUGUUUUUCUAUUUUUUCUGUUAACCUGCAAAAAUUAAGCAUGGCGGAUAUGAGUGUAAAAUUGUAAAAUCUGAGAUCACAAGCGGAAUGAGGAGAUCCAGCUGCGGGGGCGGAAGAGAAGGAACAUUUCCCCAAAUUAAUUUCCUCCUCAAUAAGGGCAAGAAAGAUGAAGGGAAGGCGCAAGUUAAUAUCCCCCGGCUACCCCGGACGAACCAACUUCACAACAGAUGAGCAAAUCGAGUCCAUGUACAGGCUAUUGCGAAAUCAUGAACAAGUUUGGAACCCGCAGAGGUCGAGGAUAUCGAGGAAAGUUCAAAAUCUACAGCAUAUGAGCGAUCUAAGUGUUGGCCCUCACACAGCAAACGGUAACUCUGAUUAUCUCGAAUCGGAUUCUAUAUUGCACCAUUGUUCAACAUCGAAAAUUUCUUAAUUAUUUUCUUUAGGCACAGAAUUUUACCAUGUUCUGUCAAUUUCCAGAAGCAUAGUUUUUAAUUUAC
Molecule: non-coding RNA, 544 nt
Organism: Salvia hispanica
Lineage: Eukaryota; Viridiplantae; Streptophyta; Magnoliopsida; Lamiales; Lamiaceae
Source: RefSeq, a predicted model, not a curated record